Molecule: ribosomal RNA, 405 nt
Filed under: Bacillota bacterium
Lineage: Bacteria; Bacillati; Bacillota
Description: Firmicutes bacterium partial 16S ribosomal RNA
Rfam family: Bacterial small subunit ribosomal RNA
Source: RNAcentral
UGGGGAAUCUUGCGCAAUGGGCGAAAGCCUGACGCAGCAACGCCGCGUGCGGGAAGAAGGCCUUAGGGUUGUAAACCGCUUUCAGUAGGAACGAAAAUGACGGUACCUGCAGAAGAAGAUGCGGCCAACUACGUGCCAGCAGCCGCGGUGACACGUAGGCACCAAGCGUUGUCCGGAUUUAUUGGGCGUAAAGAGCUCGUAGGCGGUUGAGUAAGUCGGGUGUGAAAACUCUGGGCUUAACCCAGAGCCGCCACUCGAUACUGCUCUGACUUGAGUUCGGUAGGGGAGCAGGGAAUUCCUAGUGUAGCGGUGAAAUGCGCAGAUAUUAGGAGGAACACCGGUGGCGAAGGCGCUGCUCUGGGCCGAAACUGACGCUGAGGAGCGAAAGCGUGGGUAGCAAACAGG